This 30-nucleotide non-coding RNA is filed under the name Homo sapiens (human). Lineage: Eukaryota; Metazoa; Chordata; Mammalia; Primates; Hominidae. The record is from RNAcentral.
GGGGGUGUAACUCAGUGGUAGAGCAUUUGA